This 1198-nucleotide long non-coding RNA is filed under the name Canis lupus familiaris (dog). RNAcentral's name for it is "lncRNA (ENSCAFG00040025177.1)". The record is from RNAcentral. Lineage: Eukaryota; Metazoa; Chordata; Mammalia; Carnivora; Canidae.
UACAGCAAGCGUCGUGGACACGGAUGCCUCAGUGAGGCCUGGGGUGGGGGCGUCCAGGCCUCCCCAGCGUCCGUCUGUGCAGCUCGCAGGAUAGACUGACACAGCGACAGCAACGUUUCCUGAAUCCCUGAGGAUAUGCACACCUGUGGCAGAGGGGCCGCCCAAGCAGGUGCCUUUGGGAAGACAGAGCCAUCCGAUAGUGACCUCCCCUGGCCUGGCCUGCACCUGUGCGCACCUGCUGCAAGCAGGGCCAUGUGAGUUGGCGGUGUUCAGCAUCUUGCUGGUGGAGGGGCAGGCUGAACCCAAGAAGCUUUGUAAAAAAUUCUCUGGGAUGGAAUUUGGAGGUGGAAAGAUCACAUGCAGAUUCAUGUGGUGGAUGGAAACAAGUGACCGGUUCCCAUUAUUUUCAGCAGGUAAGUAGAGGCUAAAGCAGCAGCAAUAGUAACAACACACAGCCCAGACCCUGCUGACAUGUCCUUCCUGUCCUCAAGAGCUUGACAUUUUUUAGGUUGUCCUCCAGGGUUGCUGCCUGGUUGGAAAGAUGCCCUAUAUCAACUAUCAACUCUACAGCCAGCCUAGACCACCGGAAACCUGAGCCCCGGGGGCGAGGCUGGAACCAAGACGUCUCCAAUCCUUGAUGAUGAUGAUCCACUCACCCUGUGGGUCCCUUGUGGUGCUGGUGUACCCAGGUACCUCGUCUUGUUCUUGGGACGUCUGGGAGCUUUGAGCAGCGUCAACUGGGGAUAUGUUUUAGGAUCUGUGUCUUUGAAGGUUUUGCUUCCUUUACAUACAACACAUCUUUCCCCGUUCCUCAUUUCCUGGGGAACGCGCUAGUCCUUUCCCAGCACUGGGCAUUGAGAAGAGAACAACGAGGAGCUGGAAGAAAAGACCUGGCAAAGUCUUCUUUGGGUCAGUUCUGAAGCUGUGCUGUUCUGGGCAUUGCCCUGGGAUUGCAUAAUCCACCCCAGUGCUGACGAAGUCUCACCUGGCACCACUUCAGGUUAAAUAAACUUGGCCCAGGACGUCCAGCUUCCAGAGAAAUUUUGUUUCACUAGUCUUCCUGCUGCUGAACUUCAGACAAAAUUGAAACAAUAAUUAUUUGAAGGCACUGGGAAGUGACCUGAAGCAGAUGAAAAAAACCCUCGAGGUACAUGAGCUUUGAGAGGAGUUUGAAAGAAAGCUUUUCUCCUGAGGGCUC